GUACUUACCUGGCAGGGGAGAUACCAUUAUCAUGAAGGUGAUUUUCCCAGGGUGAAGCUUAUCCACUGCACUCCGGAUGUGCUGACCACCACGUUUUCCCCAAAUGUGGGAAACUCGACUGCAUAAUUUGCGGUAGUAGGGGACUACGUUUGUGCUCUCCCCUG
Suncus etruscus (white-toothed pygmy shrew) is the source of this 164-nucleotide small nuclear RNA. RefSeq annotates it as U1 spliceosomal RNA. The transcript has a single exon. The record is from RefSeq and is a predicted model, not a curated record. NCBI's taxonomy places the organism in Eukaryota, Metazoa, Chordata, Mammalia, Eulipotyphla, Soricidae.